RNAcentral lists this ribosomal RNA (408 nucleotides) under uncultured bacterium. RNAcentral's name for it is "bacterial SSU rRNA". It matches the Rfam family "Bacterial small subunit ribosomal RNA", at positions 29 to 429 of the family's 1533-position model. The record is from RNAcentral.
AACGAACGCUGGCGGCGCGCUUAACACAUGCAAGUCGAACGAGAAGGCGUAGCAAUACGCUUGUACAGUGGCGAACGGGUGAGUAAUACGUGGGCGACCUACCCUCGAGUGGGAAUAACCCGCCGAAAGGCGGGCUAAUGCCGCGUACGCUUCCAUCUUUAUGGAGGUGGAAGGAAAGCCGUGCCGUGGGCACGGCGCUCAAGGAUGGGCUCACGUCCUAUCAGCUUGUUGGAGGGUAACGGCCUACCAAGGCUCCGACGGGUAGCUGGUCUGAGAGGACGAUCAGCCACACUGGCACUGCGACACGGGCCAGACUCCUACGGGAGGCAGCAGUAAGGAAUAUUGCGCAAUGGGCGAAAGCCUGACGCAGCGACGCCGCGUGGGGGAUGAAGGUCUUCGGAUUGUAAA